RNAcentral lists this ribosomal RNA (1400 nucleotides) under uncultured bacterium. RNAcentral describes it as "bacterial SSU rRNA". It matches the Rfam family "Bacterial small subunit ribosomal RNA". The record is from RNAcentral.
AGUUUGAUCCUGGUUCAGAAUGCAAGCUGGCGGCCGGCCUAGCUCCUGCAAGUCGACCGGUAGCACAGAGAGCUUUGCUCUUCGGGGUGACGAGCGGCGGACGGGUGAGUAAUGUCUGGGAAACUGCCUGAUGGAGGGGGAUAACUACUGGAAACGGUAGCUAAUACCGCAUAACGUCGCAAGACCAAAGUGGGGGACCUUCGGGCCUCAUGCCAUCAGAUGUGCCCAGAUGGGAUUAGCUAGUAGGUGGGGUAACGGCUCACCUAGGCGACGAUCCCUAGCUGGUCUGAGAGGAUGACCAGCCACACUGGAACUGAGACACGGUCCAGACUCCUACGGGAGGCAGCAGUGGGGAAUAUUGCACAAUGGGCGCAAGCCUGAUGCAGCCAUGCCGCGUGUGUGAAGAAGGCCUUCGGGUUGUAAAGCACUUUCAGCGGGGAGGAAGGCGUUAAGGUUAAUAACCUUGGCGAUUGACGUUACCCGCAGAAGAAGCACCGGCUAACUCCGUGCCAGCAGCCGCGGUAAUACGGAGGGUGCAAGCGUUAAUCGGAAUUACUGGGCGUAAAGCGCACGCAGGCGGUCUGUCAAGUCGGAUGUGAAAUCCCCGGGCUCAACCUGGGAACUGCAUUCGAAACUGGCAGGCUAGAGUCUUGUAGAGGGGGGUAGAAUUCCAGGUGUAGCGGUGAAAUGCGUAGAGAUCUGGAGGAAUACCGGUGGCGAAGGCGGCCCCCUGGACAAAGACUGACGCUCAGGUGCGAAAGCGUGGGGAGCAAACAGGAUUAGAUACCCUGGUAGUCCACGCCGCAAACGAUGUCGAUUUGGAGGUUGUGCCCUUGAGGCGUGGCUUCCGGAGCUAACGCGUUAAAUCGACCGCCUGGGGAGUACGGCCGCAAGGUUAAAACUCAAAUGAAUUGACGGGGGCCCGCACAAGCGGUGGAGCAUGUGGUUUAAUUCGAUGCAACGCGAAGAACCUUACCUGGUCUUGACAUCCACAGAACUUAGCAGAGAUGCUUUGGUGCCUUCGGGAACUGUGAGACAGGUGCUGCAUGGCUGUCGUCAGCUCGUGUUGUGAAAUGUUGGGUUAAGUCCCGCAACGAGCGCAACCCUUAUCCUUUGUUGCCAGCGGUUAGGCCGGGAACUCAAAGGAGACUGCCAGUGAUAAACUGGAGGAAGGUGGGGAUGACGUCAAGUCAUCAUGGCCCUUACGACCAGGGCUACACACGUGCUACAAUGGCAUAUACAAAGAGAAGCGACCUCGCGAGAGCAAGCGGACCUCAUAAAGUAUGUCGUAGUCCGGAUUGGAGUCUGCAACUCGACUCCAUGAAGUCGGAAUCGCUAGUAAUCGUAGAUCAGAAUGCUACGGUGAAUACGUUCCCGGGCCUUGCACUCACCGCCCGUCA